Molecule: unclassified non-coding RNA, 437 nt
Filed under: Zea mays
Lineage: Eukaryota; Viridiplantae; Streptophyta; Magnoliopsida; Poales; Poaceae
Description: misc RNA Zm00001eb354770
Source: RNAcentral
CACCCAUCAAAUGUGCAUUUCUGAGACUGAGAGGACGACCUUGACUCUGGGCGAUCAUGUGGCUGCGGACAGCGGAAGGAAGUCCUCAACCGGGAAUUUGCUACACCAAUCCAUUCACUGCACUACUGGCAUUGAACAGCCAGGGAUGCUACAUAUUAGGGGCCUUCAAUCAUCCAAAAAGCUGAUGGUAUACUCACGAAAAAGGUUCAACAGUAGGGACAAGUCUGGAAAUAUGAAUGAAGAAGGGAGUGGGCCAAUCGCUUCUGUACUGAGGAUUGAUACUGAUGAAAAUACAGUGUCCACGGUGCGAGAGGUCAGCCUAGCUGUUACUACUGAUGGUAGUCAGUCAACUUCGCAAGAGACCCAAACAGGCAGUACGCAGCUCAAGAACAAACAAUUCCUUAGCAAGCUCUCCAAAAAGAUUUCAGGCCUCCUUG